RNAcentral lists this ribosomal RNA (506 nucleotides) under uncultured bacterium. RNAcentral describes it as "bacterial SSU rRNA". It matches the Rfam family "Bacterial small subunit ribosomal RNA", at positions 833 to 1342 of the family's 1533-position model. The record is from RNAcentral.
UAAGUUCUCUGUAGCGCAGCUAACGCAUUAAGCACUCCGCCUGGGGAGUACGACCGCAAGGUUGAAACUCAAAGGAAUUGACGGGGGCCCGCACAAGCGGUGGAGCAUGUGGUUUAAUUCGAAGCAACGCGAAGAACCUUACCAGGUCUUGACAUACUCGUGCUAUCCUUAGAGAUAAGGAGUUCCUUCGGGACACGGGAUACAGGUGGUGCAUGGUUGUCGUCAGCUCGUGUCGUGAGAUGUUGGGUUAAGUCCCGCAACGAGCGCAACCCUUAUUACUAGUUGCCAUCAUUAAGUUGGGCACUCUAGUGAGACUGCCGGUGAUAAACCGGAGGAAGGUGGGGAUGACGUCAAAUCAUCAUGCCCCUUAUGACCUGGGCUACACACGUGCUACAAUGGAUGGUACAACGAGUCGCCAACCCGCGAGGGUGCGCUAAUCUCUUAAAACCAUUCUCAGUUCGGAUUGCAGGCUGCAACUCGCCUGCAGAAGUCGAAUCGGUAGAAUC